GAUGAACGCUGGCGGCGUGCCUAAUACAUGCAAGUCGAGCGAACAGACGAGGAGCUUGCUCCUCUGACGUUAGCGGCGGACGGGUGAGUAACACGUGGAUAACCUACCUAUAAGACUGGGAUAACUUCGGGAAACCGGAGCUAAUACCGGAUAAUAUAUUGAACCGCAUGGUUCAAUAGUGAAAGACGGUUUUGCUGUCACUUAUAGAUGGAUCCGCGCCGCAUUAGCUAGUUGGUAAGGUAACGGCUUACCAAGGCGACGAUGCGUAGCCGACCUGAGAGGGUGAUCGGCCACACUGGAACUGAGACACGGUCCAGACUCCUACGGGAGGCAGCAGUAGGGAAUCUUCCGCAAUGGGCGAAAGCCUGACGGAGCAACGCCGCGUGAGUGAUGAAGGUCUUCGGAUCGUAAAACUCUGCUAUUAGGGAAGAUCAAAUGUGUAAGUAACUAUGCACGUCUUGACGGUACCUAAUCAGAAAGCCACGGCUAACUACGUG
RNAcentral lists this ribosomal RNA (497 nucleotides) under uncultured bacterium. RNAcentral's name for it is "partial 16S ribosomal RNA". It matches the Rfam family "Bacterial small subunit ribosomal RNA", at positions 28 to 507 of the family's 1533-position model. The record is from RNAcentral.